RNAcentral lists this transfer RNA (55 nucleotides) under Cylicostephanus minutus. RNAcentral's name for it is "tRNA-Ala". Lineage: Eukaryota; Metazoa; Nematoda; Chromadorea; Rhabditida; Strongylidae. The record is from RNAcentral.
GGGACUAUAAUUUAAGUUAAAAUAUGUAAUUUGCAUUUACAAAAUUUUAGUUCUA